GCAUUCAUUACCUUGUAGAAAUGAGACCUAAAUAUGCAUGUUUCUUGUAGUGUUUACUGGGAGUAUUCAGUUUACAUUGUACUGUAGAUAUCCUUUAUUUUGCAUUUAAAAUACUAGAUAGUUUGUCAGAUCCCUUUGUUCUAGGAAUCUUUUUGCUAUCUGUUAGAUUCCCUAGUGUCAAUGAGGCAUUUCUCUGUAAGAGCCAGAUUAGAUUGAUUUUUAUUUUCUCCAAAGGAAGGAUAUCCUUCUGACAGGCUGGAGAUUUGUCAAAAGGAAAGUUCUAUGAAUAUGCUGUUGUAAUUUUUUUAGAUAUUUUAAGGACUUGUGCAAGUUAUCCUCUCUGUUGGAGACUAAAACCUUUGAACCACAAUGGUACCCAAUCAUCAAUCAAGGACAUGAAGGCAUGGAGGAUUGGCUAUAAGAAGUGGUUGAUUUGGAUGGCACAAUUAGUUGCCAAUAGUCUCCAUAUGCCAUGCUCUUUUCACAUGAAAUGUAUUCUGUGGUGUGAUGGCUAAGGAAGUAGUUAUUUUGGAAAAUAAUUAUGAUGAGGCAUUGAAUGAUCAUUUUCAGAAAGUAUUUCUUGUGCCCUUCUUCUUUUUGGUCAUUCUUCUGUGUCAUUAAUUCUGAAAGGAAAAUUAAUAGU
Molecule: unclassified non-coding RNA, 643 nt
Filed under: Hevea brasiliensis (rubber tree)
Lineage: Eukaryota; Viridiplantae; Streptophyta; Magnoliopsida; Malpighiales; Euphorbiaceae
Source: RNAcentral